UGGGGAAUAUUGCACAAUGGGCGCAAGCCUGAUGCAGCCAUGCCGCGUGUAUGAAGAAGGCCUUCGGGUUGUAAAGUACUUUCAGCGGGGAGGAAGGGAGUAAAGUUAAUACCUUUGCUCAUUGACGUUACCCGCAGAAGAAGCACCGGCUAACUCCGUGCCAGCAGCCGCGGUAAUACGGAGGGUGCAAGCGUUAAUCGGAAUUACUGGGCGUAAAGCGCACGCAGGCGGUUUGUUAAGUCAGAUGUGAAAUCCCCGGGCUCAACCUGGGAACUGCAUCUGAUACUGGCAAGCUUGAGUCUCGUAGAGGGGGGUAGAAUUCCAGGUGUAGCGGUGAAAUGCGUAGAGAUCUGGAGGAAUACCGGUGGCGAAGGCGGCCCCCUGGCCGAAGACUGACGCUCAGGUGCGAAAGCGUGGGGAGCAAACAGG
This 429-nucleotide ribosomal RNA is filed under the name Chloroflexota bacterium. RNAcentral's name for it is "Chloroflexi bacterium partial 16S ribosomal RNA". It matches the Rfam family "Bacterial small subunit ribosomal RNA", at positions 355 to 776 of the family's 1533-position model. The record is from RNAcentral. Lineage: Bacteria; Bacillati; Chloroflexota.